Long non-coding RNA from Neofelis nebulosa (Clouded leopard), 736 nucleotides. RefSeq lists it as uncharacterized. The record is from RefSeq and is a predicted model, not a curated record. The transcript has 5 exons. NCBI's taxonomy places the organism in Eukaryota, Metazoa, Chordata, Mammalia, Carnivora, Felidae.
AUGUCAACAAAAGGAAAGCCUAGGAAGGCCUCUUUGAACGGGACGGGAGCGGGAGCGAGCGGGGCAGGCCUGCCUGUGAGCCUCCGGGCACUGCGUUCGCUGGGCUCCCUGCGGAUGCUGACUGUUGCUACAGAGAAAUCAUAAUGAGAGAGGAAAAUAAAGCGUAUCUGCUUACACCUGGCAAGAUCUGUGGGUUGAGACUGGCCCUGGCACUGCAAUAGAUCUUCUUCUGGCUUCACACAGAAGGAAGUUAAGGCUCAGAGACGUGACGUACUUCUGCCCCAGUGCGCAUGGCCUCCAUUAGAAUGUACCAGGGAUGGCCUGCUGGAGGAUAAGGGACAAGUGGAGCAGAGCUGAGUCACCCCAGAAGCCUCUGCUGAAACCAGUCUAGAUCACCUGACUCCCAGUGAGGAUCGUGACAGCUCCUUUGGGGAUGUGUUGUGAAGUCUGAAGCAGAUAAAGCACGGGAUGUGCUAACACAAUGUCAAGUUUGCAGGAAAUGCUCGCUAAAUGGGAACCAUUUCCAGAUUCCAACUGCCAGAGAAUCAAAUGACUCCAGCAACACUUCUGGGGUGUCAGGUUUUGCUUAAUCCAACUGCCAUAGUGAGAAAGGAAGAAGCUACAACAGCUCUGCCCAGAUCGGAUACCCUGGCAUCGGCAGUUGGGUUUAACGGUGUGAGACACCUGGAUAAACUGAAGAGGUGAAAAUUAAAAUAAAGUACCUGCAGCACCACAG